GUGAAAACUAAAAUACACAGAGCUCCUGGGAUCAAGUUGACUCAUGACAGAGAGAAGAGAACACAGCUUGAAUCAGGAAACAACAUAGCACCAUGUACAACCUUCAUCCUGUGCCUGCCAUUUCAGGACAUGCAUUGCUGUGAAUACUAAGGAUGUGAAAACAUCUUUGAGCUUCUCUCUCUCUGUAUUCAUUUGUUGAGACCUCAUUCAGUAACCUAAUGGAGAAGGUGGACUUUUCUACACUAAGCCAGUGAAGGUUUUAGUUAUUUAUAGAGUCUAUGACGUGGCACAGUAUCCAUGUGUAUCAGGAAAGUCACAGCAGCUCUGCCAGACCUCUUUGAGAUGCUUGACAUACAAUUGCUUUAGCAUUUCUGUUACUUGAGGGAAGCAUUUUCAGCUUUUGCUGGAGGUAUUUCCCAUUACUGAAGUGCUUGCCAAUUAAGAACUAGACUCCUUUCCACUGCCAUCACCAAGCUGAAUAUCUUUAAAUAACCUGAACAAAGCAGGACAUGGCUCCCCUCCCUCAUCUCCAUCAAUCAUGGGAAGACUUACUUGAAGAAUCACAAGACGCUUCUAUCAUGUGCUAUACAGCCAAGCUGGAUGUGAACUUGCAUGAGAAAUUUCACAGCUUGGUUUCCAAAUAUUCAGAAGCUCUACGGGGAUCUGUUGCACCUGUUCCCACACACAAGUAAGGUUUUUCACAUUUUUCUGGUAAAAUUAUAUAUUUAUUGAAUGGGAAAAAACGAUUUUUAUUGUAGAAAAAUCUUACCUCCUUCAGAGGAUAAUAGAUUUUCUGCCAGUUGGGCCUUAUGGUUUGCAAAAGAUAAAGUCAGAAAUAGAAUCAGCUCCUUU
RNAcentral lists this long non-coding RNA (852 nucleotides) under Gallus gallus (chicken). RNAcentral describes it as "lncRNA (ENSGALG00010018424.1)". Lineage: Eukaryota; Metazoa; Chordata; Aves; Galliformes; Phasianidae. The record is from RNAcentral.